UACGUAGGGGGCAAGCGUUAUCCGGAUUUACUGGGUGUAAAGGGAGCGUAGACGGUGAUGCAAGUCAGAAGUGAAAGCCCGGGGCUCAACUCCGGGACUGCUUUUGAAACUGGAGGCCUUGAGUGCACACAGGGAUGCCGGAAUUCAUGGUGUAGCGGUGAAAUGCUUAGAUAUCAUGAAGAACUCCGAUCGCGAAGGCAAGUGUCCGGGGUGCAACUGACGCUGAGGCUCGAAAGUGCGGGUAUCAAACAGG
Molecule: ribosomal RNA, 253 nt
Filed under: uncultured bacterium
Lineage: Bacteria
Description: partial 16S ribosomal RNA
Rfam family: Bacterial small subunit ribosomal RNA
Source: RNAcentral